AUUGCAGUGACUCAAAUCUGUGUAGCCUAUCAAUGUGAGCCUAACUAAUUCAGAUAAACAGGAGUUAUUUUUCUCUACCUUUUUUUAACAUUACAAGUCACAAUAGAAAUUGAUAAUAGAUUUAACUAUUUAAAAUACAACACAGCGCCCCAUGGCCCCUUCUGUUAUGGGUGUAAGAUGGCACAGUGAUGCCAUCUGUUGGUAAAUGUUAAUUACUGCAACUCCAGUGUUUUUUACCGGUGUGCUUGAAAUACCCGGAUGUAUUGCAAUAUACGGAACAAGACUGGUUACUCGCAUCAACGCCUCUGUCUCGUCAUUUAACAUUCAAACACCUUCUGUUCGGUUUUCAUCCGUUUCUUUCUUGUUAAGCAUUUCCCCAUUCUUGAGUCAGACCUUAUGGGAAUGUGUGGGACAGAAGAGGAAUUUAUGACAAUUUAGCAUAGACAAUAGCUACAGUACUCUACUCUCACCAUGUCUACCAUUUAGGUUUAGCUAGUUAUGUUAUCCACUGCUAGCUAAUAACUUGCUAACACUAAUAGCUAGCUACCACAGAUGACAUUUUUAUAAUAAACUAGUAAGUUCGUCUUAAAAUUGGAACCACUAAUUUUAGUGUGCUGACAAAGGAUGAUAGUUAGCUAAUUUACCAGCUACCUAACUAGAGACUGAACAUGAGUUCAAAGGUUAGAUAGCUAGCUAGCUACCACGCUAAUCCCAAAAAACAUUCUAAACAAAUUGCAUGGAAUAUCAUGUCGAUGUUCGCUAACUAGCUAGCAAAUGUGAUCUAUUUAGCUAUAUCAUGCCAAGGAUUAUCUCGUGUUAAAACGUCUAGCAGAACGUCUAUAUUGAAAAAUACGUUUUAAAAUUGACCUAAUGCUAGCUAGCUAACGUUUCCUAGCCAGCUACUAUAGGUAGGACAGAGGUGCUAGUUGAGCAGCGGUGCUAAAUCCAGCAGAACUUCUGUAUUCAAAGGUGAAACAAAUUGCAUAGCGAAUUCACCCUCUCUACCCUGUAUCCUUUGAACAACGUUUUUGUCACGCAAUCUCUUGUCUGGACUUUGAACACUUCUCAUAGCCACGUUCAUCCUGAUUAUUUACGAUGCACUGUCACAUGAUGUAAUGAGGAGGCCCUGACAAGUCUGGCUGAGCAACCAGUAGGCAUGUCCAGAGUAGACGACAGAGGAUGGAUCCCACUACAUGAGGCCGCAGUACAGGAGAAGAAAAGUAUUCUGGUGAUCGUUUUCUCAGCCUCCCCCAGGGUGCAGGGCAGUGCCGGACUCUGAAGGGAGAAAUGCCUCUCUUCCGGGAGAAUGCUACAUUCCUGCUACAGAACGGAUGCUGUCCUGACCUCCAGAACGAUGAUGAGGAAUCUCCGCUCGUGGCAGGACAAAUGACCCAACACACCUCCAGGCUGUGUAAGGGCUAUUUAACCAAGAAG
This 1434-nucleotide long non-coding RNA is filed under the name Salmo salar (Atlantic salmon). RNAcentral describes it as "lncRNA (ENSSSAG00000109753.1, ENSSSAG00000117220.1)". The record is from RNAcentral. Lineage: Eukaryota; Metazoa; Chordata; Actinopteri; Salmoniformes; Salmonidae.